UGCCUCAUGGUGUAAAGGUAGCACAUCAGGUUUUGGUCCUGCUAGUCUUGGUUCGAAUCCAGGUGGGGUAACAA
This 74-nucleotide transfer RNA is filed under the name Chitinophagaceae bacterium. Its description in RNAcentral is "tRNA-Gln". It matches the Rfam family "tRNA". Rfam says of the family: Transfer RNA (tRNA) molecules are approximately 80 nucleotides in length. Their secondary structure includes four short double-helical elements and three loops (D, anti-codon, and T loops). The record is from RNAcentral. Lineage: Bacteria; Pseudomonadati; Bacteroidota; Chitinophagia; Chitinophagales; Chitinophagaceae.